GCCCUCCUUAUAUCUGAAUUUCUUCACUGAAAGUUGUCUUUUCAUCCUCUCAUCUCCCCCUGCUCUGCCGUACUCUUCAUGUCUCUCUGCAUCUCUUUGAGUUAUUGCAGACUGAACUAGAGAUAUACGCAACCUAUCUCUCUUUUCCUGCAGUGCACCAAUUAUGUAACCGUUCAGAGGUUGUCCCACGCAGGCACACAGAGAUGCUGUCACGUCUCCAAAUGAUCACCGUCUUGUAACGAUACCUCAAGAGCACUGUUAGAGACGCAUCCCACCCAGAACAUCAAAUCAGUUAACAGGAGCUCAGCUGCACGUGGUUCCAUGUGAUAAUCAGAAUCUGGGUCCAUUUUAGGGCGAUUCGUCACUUCAGUCAUAACACAUCAUCACCCUUUGGUCACAAAGUGCAGGUGGAGAGGCAAGCAAUGCAUGGACCAGAGAGGCCGCAGAGGGCGGGAUGCAACAGAUGGACACACUCCGCAGGGGUUCUGCUGGACACCAUACAUGAGACUGAGCAGCAUAAUGACUUCCACUCUGCGGUCUG
Long non-coding RNA from Cyprinus carpio carpio, 541 nucleotides. NCBI's taxonomy places the organism in Eukaryota, Metazoa, Chordata, Actinopteri, Cypriniformes, Cyprinidae. The record is from Ensembl.